CCACUGCCUGAGGUCAGGAAGCUGCAGGUAGCAGGGGAGCGGGUUGGCCCAGGCCUCUCUGGCUGCCAAGGCAGGAGCGGUCCCCGUGUGCCACCUGGGUGUUGCUGGACCUUGGACAGUGUGGCCAGAGGAUCCGGAAGGGGUGAGGAAACCGGGGCGUGGAGAGGCUGUGUUACUUGCUCAAGGUCACAUUACUAGCAAGUUCCAGAUCAAGAUGCAUCCCCAGGCAGUCUGGCUCCAGACUCCGUGCAUUUACCUGCAGAACCCCUCUCCAGCCAGCAUCUGACCUGUGGCCCAGGAGUGUGCACCCUCUGGCAGGUGAUGGGGAGCCCUGGAAGACUUCAGAGCAGGGGAGGGACAAGGAGCAAGGUGGCCGUGGGAAGAUGGCUCCAGCAGCAUGCAGAAGAUGGACAGGAGUGGAUAGGGACAAAGGUGGAAAAGGAGAGAAUAAGCAUCUGCCAUUUGUUCACUGCAGAGGGUUUGCUGUGAUCAGAUCAACCCAG
Molecule: long non-coding RNA, 503 nt
Filed under: Homo sapiens (human)
Lineage: Eukaryota; Metazoa; Chordata; Mammalia; Primates; Hominidae
Description: HSALNT0002987
Source: RNAcentral